This is a long non-coding RNA of Homo sapiens (human), 985 nucleotides long. Lineage: Eukaryota; Metazoa; Chordata; Mammalia; Primates; Hominidae. The record is from Ensembl.
AUCCCAGGGAAUUGUGUCACUCCCAUUGAGCAGCUGUGGGGCCCUCUCCCACAUGGCCCAGGUCCACCACUCUGUCAAAGGUCGCACAGCCCAGACAAAAACAGGACACAGCAGUGUGUGAAUGAGCCGGGCUUUCUCCUUCCCUCCACGUAAUAGAAGGUGCCUGAGGUUGUUGAAACACAGUCCAUUUCUCCUGGGAAUGACAAGAAUUUGAGGGAUGCUGACUUUCAAGGAAUACUGCAUGACAGGCAUCAAGAUAAACCUGAUGAAGAAAACAUAGGCCAGAAUCUGGGAAUCGGGAGCAAAGUAAUACAGCUUCGGGGACAGGCACGUAAUGAGGUCAUGAUGUAGGAGACUCCCUGCAGGACUGGCGGCCCCUGUUCCCUGGGUUGUUCUGGCUCUUUCAGGUGAGAGAGAAGGAUACAGACAGGAAAUGGCACUUCCUAGAAGGGCAACCCUCUGUUCCUGGGGUGUGUGGCAUCUUCCAGCGUUGGGUCUGAGGUUCUAGAACCUGACCCUGGAACAGGACUGAGCAGGUGCCUGUGUGCACAGAAGACCUUGUGUGAGUCCUUUGGUACCACGUUUGCUGCACGAAUGUCUGAGACACCUCACAGUCGCUUGGUUCAGCCUCUCCCUCCUCUCUCCGCUGGGGAACAUCAUCCCUCAUCACUGGAAGAAAUUACAAGGAUUGUGUAAACAAUUACAAGUAUUCUACAAACAGUGAGCAUGCUGGUUUGGCCCAUCUAUUUGUAAGAAAAAACAUGGGGUUUUAUGGCAAUGAGUUACAGCUCUGAACUCCUGGCACAAUCACAAAUAUCCUCAGCACAAAACACCAAGUGUAUGUCUCCCUUCUGUCCUAAAAGGGUAGUGUGUGCAACUCAUUGAUGGGGCUCCCAUUUCAUUUUUGAAAGAUCUGCUCACUGAUAAUACCAGUGAGAUUGUUUUCACCAAGAUCUAUGACAUACAAAUAAACUGUUGCUUCAAA